CCUACGGGCGGCAGCAGUGGGGAAUAUUGGACAAUGGGGGGAACCCUGAUCCAGCCAUGCCGCGUGUGUGAAGAAGGCCCUCGGGUUGUAAAGCACUUUCAGUGAGGAAGAACGCCUGGUGGUUAAUACCCAUCAGGAAAGACAUCACUCACAGAAGAAGCACCGGCUAACUCCGUGCCAGCAGCCGCGGUAAUACGGAGGGUGCGAGCGUUAAUCGGAAUUACUGGGCGUAAAGCGUGCGUAGGUGGCUUGAUAAGCCGGUUGUGAAAGCCCCGGGCUCAACCUGGGAACGGCAUCCGGAACUGUCAAGCUAGAGUGCAGGAGAGGAAGGUAGAAUUCCCGGUGUAGCGGUGAAAUGCGUAGAGAUCGGGAGGAAUACCAGUGGCGAAGGCGGCCUUCUGGACUGACACUGACACUGAGGUGCGAAAGCGUGGGUAGCAAACAGGAUUAGAUACCCUGGUAGUC
This 465-nucleotide ribosomal RNA is filed under the name Vreelandella stevensii. RNAcentral describes it as "partial 16S ribosomal RNA". It matches the Rfam family "Bacterial small subunit ribosomal RNA", at positions 338 to 795 of the family's 1533-position model. Lineage: Bacteria; Pseudomonadati; Pseudomonadota; Gammaproteobacteria; Oceanospirillales; Halomonadaceae. The record is from RNAcentral.